GGAGAGCUGUCCGAGUGGCUGAAGGAGCACGCCUGGAAAGUGUGUAUACGUUAAUAGCGUAUCGAGGGUUCGAAUCCCUCGCUCUCCG
This 88-nucleotide transfer RNA is filed under the name Halopseudomonas bauzanensis. RNAcentral describes it as "Pseudomonas bauzanensis tRNA_Ser_GGA". It matches the Rfam family "tRNA". From Rfam's summary of the family: Transfer RNA (tRNA) molecules are approximately 80 nucleotides in length. Their secondary structure includes four short double-helical elements and three loops (D, anti-codon, and T loops). Lineage: Bacteria; Pseudomonadati; Pseudomonadota; Gammaproteobacteria; Pseudomonadales; Pseudomonadaceae. The record is from RNAcentral. RNAcentral also lists the same sequence under 1 other name.